UGAGGAAUAUUGGUCAAUGGGGGCAACCCUGAACCAGCCAAGUCGCGUGAAGGAUGAAGGUCUUAUGGAUUGUAAACUUCUUUUAUACAGGAAUAAAUUGGGGGACGUGUCCCCUUUUGCAUGUACUGUAUGAAUAAGGAUCGGCUAACUCCGUGCCAGCAGCCGCGGUAAUACGGAGGAUCCGAGCGUUAUCCGGAUUUAUUGGGUUUAAAGGGUGCGCAGGCGGGAUGUUAAGUCGGCGGUGAAAUUUUGCAGCUCAACUGUAAAAGUGCCUUCGAUACUGGCCUCCUUGAGUGUGGAUGAAGUAGGCGGAAUUUGUGGUGUAGCGGUGAAAUGCUUAGAUAUCACGAGGAACUCCGAUUGCGCAGGCAGCUUACUAAACCACAACUGACGCUCAUGCACGAAGGCGUGGGGAUCAAACAG
RNAcentral lists this ribosomal RNA (423 nucleotides) under uncultured bacterium. Its description in RNAcentral is "bacterial SSU rRNA". It matches the Rfam family "Bacterial small subunit ribosomal RNA", at positions 355 to 775 of the family's 1533-position model. The record is from RNAcentral.